This 851-nucleotide ribosomal RNA is filed under the name uncultured marine bacterium. Its description in RNAcentral is "bacterial SSU rRNA". It matches the Rfam family "Bacterial small subunit ribosomal RNA", at positions 35 to 873 of the family's 1533-position model. The record is from RNAcentral.
UUUUGGGGAGCGCGGCUACCUGCAGUCGACGCGAAGCAAUCUUCGGAUUGUAAGUAGAGUGGCAGACGGGUGAGUAAUGCAUAGGAAAUCUACCCGGGAGUGGGGAAUAACCAGCCGAAAGGCUGGCUAAUACCGCAUAAAGUCGUGUUACUUAAGUGAUGCGAACAAAGGGGGGGACCUUCGGGCCUCUCGCUUCUGGAUGAGCUUAUGUCCUAUUAGAUAGUUGGUGGGGUAAAGGCCUACCAAGUCGAUGAUGGGUAGCCGAGCUGAGAGGCUGAUCGGCCACACUGGUACUGGAACACGGACCAGACUCCUACGGGAGGCAGCAGUGGGGAAUUUUGCGCAAUGGGCGAAAGCCUGACGCAGCGACGCCGCGUGGAGGAUGAAGGGUUUCGUACUCGUAAACUCCUGUCAGAAAGGAUUAAAUGCUUAUAAGUUAAUAACUUAUAGGUUUGACUUAACUUUCAGAGGAAGCCCCAACUAAAUACGUGCCAGCAGCCGCGGUAAUACGUAUGGGGCGAGCGCUACUCGGAUUUAUUGGGCGUAAAGCGAAUGUAGGCUGUUUAUUAAGUCAGUAGUGAAAUCCCCCGGCUCAACCGGGGAAUAGCUAUUGAAACUGGUAGACUUGAGGACAGGAGAGGAAAGUAGAAUUCCCAGUGUAGCGGUGGAAUGCGUAGAUAUUGGGAGGAAUACCAGAGGCGAAGGCGGCUUUCUGGACUGGUCCUGACGCUGAGAUUCGAAAGCUAGGGUAGCAAACAGGAUUAGAUACCCUGGUAGUCCUAGCUGUAAACGAUGGAUACUGGAUUUUGCACAGAGUGCUUUGUCGAAGUUAACGCGUUAAGUAUCCCGCC